CCUACGGGAGGCUGCAGUGAGGAAUCUUGCUCAAUGGACGAAAGUCUGAACCAGCCAUGCCGCGUGCAGGAUGACGGCUCUCUGAGUUGUAAACUGCUUUUGUACAAGGGUAAACAUGAAUACGUGUAUUUAGCUGACUGUACUGUACGAAUAAGGAUAGGCUAACUCCGUGCCAGCAGCCGCGGUAAUACGGAGGAUACAAGCGUUAUCCGGAUUUAUUGGGUUUAAAGGGUGCGUAGGCGGAUUGAUAAGUUAGAGGUGAAAUGUCCGGGCUCAACUCGGGAACUGCCUCUGAUACUGUUGAACUAGAGAGUAGAUGCGGAAGGCGGAAUGUAUGGUGUAGCGGUGAAAUGCUUAGAGAU
RNAcentral lists this ribosomal RNA (362 nucleotides) under uncultured bacterium. Its description in RNAcentral is "partial 16S ribosomal RNA". It matches the Rfam family "Bacterial small subunit ribosomal RNA", at positions 338 to 697 of the family's 1533-position model. The record is from RNAcentral.